RNAcentral lists this ribosomal RNA (440 nucleotides) under uncultured bacterium. RNAcentral describes it as "partial 16S ribosomal RNA". It matches the Rfam family "Bacterial small subunit ribosomal RNA", at positions 338 to 795 of the family's 1533-position model. The record is from RNAcentral.
CCUAGGGGGGCAGCAGUGGGGGAUAGUGCACAAUGGGGGGAACCCGGAGGCAGCGACGCCGCGUGGGUGAAGGAGCGUUUCGGCGCGUAAAGCCCUAUCGGCAGGGAAGAAGGAGGACGGUACCUGACUAAGAAGCCCCGGCUAACUACGUGCCAGCAGCCGCGGUAAUACGUAGGGGGCAAGCGUUAUCCGGAUUUACUGGGUGUAAAGGGGGCGCAGACGGCAGCGCAAGCCAGGAGUGAAAGCCCGGGGCCCAACCCCGGGACUGCUCUUGGAACUGCGCGGCUGGAGUGCAGGAGGGGCAGGCGGAAUUCCUGGUGUAGCGGUGAAAUGCGUAGAUAUUAGGAGGAACACCAGUGGCGAAGGCGGCUUACUGGACUGUAACUGACGUUGAGGCUCGAAAGCGUGGGGAGCAAACAGGAUUAGAUACCCUAGUAGUC